CAGUAGCCGCGGGAAUACGUAGGGUGCAAGCGUUAAUCGGAGUUACUGGGCGUAAAGCGUGCGCAGGCGGUUAUAUUAGUCAGAUGUGAAAUCCCCGGGCUCAACCUGGGAACUGCAUUUGAGACUGUAUGGCUAGAGUGUGUCAGAGGGGGGUAGAAUUCCACGUGUAGCAGUGAAAUGCGUAGAUAUGUGGAGGAAUACCGAUGGCGAAGGCAGCCCCCUGGGAUAACACUGACGCUCAUGCACGAAAGCGUGGGGAGCAAACAGGAUUAGAUACCCCCGUAGUCCCUGUCUCUUAUAC
This 301-nucleotide ribosomal RNA is filed under the name uncultured bacterium. Its description in RNAcentral is "partial 16S ribosomal RNA". It matches the Rfam family "Bacterial small subunit ribosomal RNA", at positions 509 to 807 of the family's 1533-position model. The record is from RNAcentral.